AACACAUGCAAGUCGAGCGAUAUAGCGGCGAACGGGUGAGUAACACGUUGGAACCUGCCCCAGACUCAGGGAUAGCCCACCGAAAGGUGGAUUAAUACCGGAUGCCCCAGCAAUGGGAAAGAUUUAUCGGUCUGGGAGGGGCCUGCGCAGUAUCAGCUUGUUGGUAAGGUAAUGGCUUACCAAGGCUACGACGCUUAACUGGUCUGAGAGGAUGAUCAGUCACAAUGGAACUGAGACAAGGUCCAUACUCC
Molecule: ribosomal RNA, 251 nt
Filed under: uncultured bacterium
Lineage: Bacteria
Description: partial 16S ribosomal RNA
Rfam family: Bacterial small subunit ribosomal RNA
Source: RNAcentral